Molecule: non-coding RNA, 119 nt
Organism: Podarcis lilfordi (Lilford's wall lizard)
Lineage: Eukaryota; Metazoa; Chordata; Lepidosauria; Squamata; Lacertidae
Source: the annotation of a GenBank genome assembly
UACAGGGAAAGAGAGUGAGAGGGGCAAGGCAGUGCAGAGGCUGGUGCGGUGCUGACUCACUGGCAGCUACAGCACCAACACCCCUGCUGCCUUGCCCCUCUCCCUCUCCUUCCCGGUAA